Non-coding RNA from Caenorhabditis elegans, 21 nucleotides. Lineage: Eukaryota; Metazoa; Nematoda; Chromadorea; Rhabditida; Rhabditidae. The record is from Ensembl.
UGCUCGGGGUUUUUUGUAUCU